AAAAAGAUAAGCUAAUUAAGCUACUAGGUUCAUACCCUAUUUAUGAAAGUCCCGGCCUUUCUCUUUUUA
RNAcentral lists this transfer RNA (69 nucleotides) under Autocrates maqueti. RNAcentral describes it as "tRNA-Met". Lineage: Eukaryota; Metazoa; Arthropoda; Insecta; Coleoptera; Trictenotomidae. The record is from RNAcentral.